Molecule: long non-coding RNA, 313 nt
Organism: Cynoglossus semilaevis (tongue sole)
Lineage: Eukaryota; Metazoa; Chordata; Actinopteri; Pleuronectiformes; Cynoglossidae
Exons: 3
Source: RefSeq, a predicted model, not a curated record
CUCAGGGAGAAGAUACACUAUGUUCGGACAGAGGGGACGCAAGGGGUAGAGAAGCUGUCGUGCGACGCCGACCUGGUCAUCCUAUUGAGCUUGUUUGAAGAGGAAAUCAUGUCCCACAUUCCGCCUCACCCUAUCCAUCCCGGCUUUAGCUUCUCCCCUCGAUGUUCCCCGGCUUCGUCUCCACAAAACUCACCAGGUUUGCAGAGGGCCAGAGCUCCAGCUCCUUACCGCAGAGACUUUGAAGCCAAAUUGAGGAACUUCUACAGGAAACUAGAAGCCAAGGGUUACGGCCAAGGACCUGGCAAAAUAAAGU